RNAcentral lists this small RNA (325 nucleotides) under Arabidopsis thaliana (thale cress). Its description in RNAcentral is "ATSL206590". Lineage: Eukaryota; Viridiplantae; Streptophyta; Magnoliopsida; Brassicales; Brassicaceae. The record is from RNAcentral.
CAUAGGGGUCAAGCGAAGUCAGAAGGGUUCUAACCUAAUCUUUACCACUUGGCUAACCUAGAGAUUACCCUAAUCUAAUCCAUCCUCAAGAACCCUAAUCACUACUCAAGCAACAUUCUCAAGAACACAAACCCAGAAAUUACUGAAAUCAUACCAAAAUGUAGAUCUAAACAAGCUAAACAACUUUACUUAAACAACUAAAUGCAAAACAAAAUAGAUUAAGAGUAAUUAAGUUUUGAAGAUUCAUAAACACAAAGAAAAACUAAAGGAUAAAAGCUCGAUCCUUUGGACAAACUCCAAAGUGAUCUAUUUAUAGUAAAACGUU